CGUGGGUGAAGAUCAUAAUCUCUCAACCGAUAAUUUAUUCGGGUAUUGAUUUGACAUUGACAGGUAAACACUACUCAGUGACCAUGCAGGUGUCUAAUUGACCGGAUUAACUUGUUUGUUUAUAUAACAGUAUUAUGUAUGGACUAAUGAUUACAAAUGAGAAGGCCGGUUUUAUGAGGUGAUAUUUUAUUGAUUUUGAUUACACAAAUACACAAAUAACGGCCGGUAUCCGGUUUAAAGGGGUGGCCGGUUUUAUAAGGUUACCUGACCGUUUAUUUACAUACACGCCGGCCGGGACUUGUUGAUUUGGCCGGUAUGAAGGGAGAACCGGUAUUAAGAGGGACCGGUUUAGAGAAGUUUCACUGUAUUGGAUA
RNAcentral lists this long non-coding RNA (374 nucleotides) under Mytilus galloprovincialis (Mediterranean mussel). Lineage: Eukaryota; Metazoa; Mollusca; Bivalvia; Mytilida; Mytilidae. The record is from RNAcentral.